This 330-nucleotide long non-coding RNA is filed under the name Brassica napus (rape). RNAcentral's name for it is "long non-coding RNA (BNAP_LNC021458)". The record is from RNAcentral. Lineage: Eukaryota; Viridiplantae; Streptophyta; Magnoliopsida; Brassicales; Brassicaceae.
UGUCUCAUAUAGAUUUGCUUUUUGAGGAAGGGAGAAGACGCUCUGUUGUGCUGCCGCAGUAUGUUUUGGCGGGUUUGUAUGGUUGGUCAAGGUGGGUUAGUUGUGAAUGCUUCUCUCGUCAUUUCUCAACAGCUUUUGGUAGGUUGCCAGAUGAAUUUUUAAGAUGUGUUUCCCGGGGUUGUAUGAAGUUGUCGUCCAAGUUACCUUCUUUGACAGGGGAGGGUUCCGAGAAGAAUCGUCAGCCGAGUUUAAUCCGUUUAAUUCCUGUUUUUAUUCAAUUAAUUUAUAUAAAACUAUUUACAAUGGAAGAUUUAUCAACUGUUGAUAAAU